GGGGGCAACCCUGACGAGCAACGCCGCGUGAGUGAGGAAGGUUUUCGGCAUCGUAAAGCUCUGUUGUAAGUCAAGAACGAGUGUGAGAGUGGAAAGUUCACACUGUGACGGUAGCUUACCAGAAAGGGACGGCUAACUACGUGCCAGCAGCCGCGGUAAUACGUAGGGUGCAAGCGUUAUCCGGAAUUAUUGGGCGUAAAGGGCUCGUAGGCGGUUCGUCGCGUCCGGUGUGAAAGUCCAUCGCUUAACGGUGGAUCCGCGCCGGGUACGGGCGGGCUUGAGUGCGGUAGGGGAGACUGGAAUUCCCGGUGUAACGGUGGAAUGUGUAGAUAUCGGGAAGAACACC
This 346-nucleotide ribosomal RNA is filed under the name uncultured bacterium. Its description in RNAcentral is "bacterial SSU rRNA". It matches the Rfam family "Bacterial small subunit ribosomal RNA", at positions 373 to 710 of the family's 1533-position model. The record is from RNAcentral.